This 497-nucleotide ribosomal RNA is filed under the name uncultured bacterium. RNAcentral's name for it is "partial 16S ribosomal RNA". It matches the Rfam family "Bacterial small subunit ribosomal RNA", at positions 28 to 508 of the family's 1533-position model. The record is from RNAcentral.
GACGAACGCUGGCGGCGUGCCUAAUACAUGCAAGUAGAACGCUGAAGAGAGGAGCUUGCUCUUCCUGGAUGAGUUGCGAACGGGUGAGUAACGCGUAGGUAACCUGCCUUGUAGCGGGGGAUAACUAUUGGAAACGAUAGCUAAUACCGCAUAACAAUGGAUGACACAUGUCAUUUAUUUGAAAGGGGCAAUUGCUCCACUACAAGAUGGACCUGCGUUGUAUUAGCUAGUAGGUGAGGUAAUGGCUCACCUAGGCGACGAUACAUAGCCGACCUGAGAGGGGGAGCGGCCACACUGGGACGGAGCCAGGGCCCAGACCCCUGGGGGGGGCGGCAGGGGGGAUUCGGGGGGAAGGGGGGCAACCAGGCCGGAGCAGCGCCGGGUGGGGGAAGAAGGGUUGCGGAUCGAGAAGCUCUGUUGUAGGUAAAGAGGGGGGGGGGGGGGGGAAAGUCCAAGCUGGGAGGGGGGCUAACAAAAAAGGGCCGGCUAACUCCGGC